This 445-nucleotide unclassified non-coding RNA is filed under the name Hevea brasiliensis (rubber tree). Lineage: Eukaryota; Viridiplantae; Streptophyta; Magnoliopsida; Malpighiales; Euphorbiaceae. The record is from RNAcentral.
CUUGAGAACCAUGUUGAGGUGAAGAAGAUCCUUGUUAAAAUUACAAUCUAUUUUCAAGUACAGGAUGAUUAUCAAGAUUGCUUUGGAGAUCCCAAAGUGACUGGUAAGGUUGGAACAGAUAUUGAAGAUUGCAAGUGCACUUGGUUUGUUGUGAAAGCACUGGAACUUGCUAAUGACGAACAAAAAAAAUUGUUACAUGAAAAUUACGGGAGAGCAGAUCCAGCCAGUGUUGCAAAAGUGAAAGAUCUCUAUCAAGUUCUUGAUCUUCAGGGUAUAUAUGCGGAGUAUGAGAGGGAGACUCAUGAGAAGCUAUCAGAGGCCAUUAAAACUUAUCCAAAUAAAGCAUUGCAGGCUUUAUGGGGAAGAUUCACAGGAACCAGAUGGACAGUUGAUAGAGCAGGGAAUGCUGCCGGGAACAAAUGAGAAUCUUCCCCAUAAAGCCUGC